AGUGAACGCUGGCGGUAGGCCUAACACAUGCAAGUCGAGCGGCAGCACAGUAAGAGCUUGCUCUUACGGGUGGCGAGUGGCGGACGGGUGAGGAAUACAUCGGAAUCUACUUUUUCGUGGGGGAUAACGUAGGGAAACUUACGCUAAUACCGCAUACGACCUACGGGUGAAAGCAGGGGAUCUUCGGACCUUGCGCGAUUGAAUGAGCCAAUGUCGGAUUAGCUAGUUGGCGGGGUAAAGGCCCACCAAGGCGACGAUCCGUAGCUGGUCUGAGAGGAUGAUCAGCCACACUGGAACUGAGACACGGUCCAGACUCCUACGGGAGGCAGCAGUGGGGAAUAUUGGACAAUGGGCGCAAGCCUGAUCCAGCCAUACCGCGUGGGUGAAGAAGGCCUUCGGGUUGUAAAGCCCUUUUGUUGGGAAAGAAAAGCAGCAGGUUAAUACCCCGCUGUUCUGACGGUACCCAAAGAAUAAGCACCGGCUAACUUCGUG
This 492-nucleotide ribosomal RNA is filed under the name uncultured bacterium. Its description in RNAcentral is "partial 16S ribosomal RNA". It matches the Rfam family "Bacterial small subunit ribosomal RNA", at positions 29 to 507 of the family's 1533-position model. The record is from RNAcentral.